UCCGGUAAGGAGCCAGCAAAGUGCCAUGUUGAUUACCGAGAAAAGGGUAAAUUAUUUUGAAAGAAUUUCAUGUUCGAGCAUCGGAAGGCAUAAAAUGUUGAGAGAAAAUCAAAGGACUAGCCAUAUACUUGCCUACUUUAUGAUAAGUAUCCUAGGGUUUACCCAUCGAAGGUGUCGAUUCAGGGUCAUAUCGAGACUAAAGAUUCUCGAUUUAAGCGAG
This 220-nucleotide long non-coding RNA is filed under the name Ricinus communis (castor bean). RNAcentral describes it as "long non-coding RNA (RCOM_LNC003309)". Lineage: Eukaryota; Viridiplantae; Streptophyta; Magnoliopsida; Malpighiales; Euphorbiaceae. The record is from RNAcentral.